Molecule: ribosomal RNA, 408 nt
Filed under: uncultured bacterium
Lineage: Bacteria
Description: partial 16S ribosomal RNA
Rfam family: Bacterial small subunit ribosomal RNA
Source: RNAcentral
GACGAACGCUGGCGGCGUGCUUAACACAUGCAAGUCGAACGAAGUGGCGAACGGGUGAGUAACGCGUAGUCAACCUGCCCUUCAGAGGGGGACAACAGUUGGAAACGACUGCUAAUACCGCAUACUGAAGGAAGGGAUUGCGUCGGAUUAGCUAGUUGGGGGGGUAACGGCCCACCAAGGCGAAGAUCCGUAGCCGGGCUGAGGGGAUGAAUGGCCACAUUGGGACUGGGAAACCGCCCAGGAUCCUACGGGAGGGAGCAGUGGGGAAUCUGCCGCAAUGGACGAAAGUCUGACGGAGCAACGCCGCGUGAGUGAUGACGGCCUUCGGGUUGGAAAGCUCUGUUAAUCGGGACGCGGUACCGGAAUAGAAAGCCACGGCUAACUACGUGCCAGCCGCCGCGGUAAUUC